This 987-nucleotide ribosomal RNA is filed under the name Triticum aestivum (bread wheat). RNAcentral describes it as "partial small subunit ribosomal RNA". The record is from RNAcentral. Lineage: Eukaryota; Viridiplantae; Streptophyta; Magnoliopsida; Poales; Poaceae.
CCACUCUCCGCCCCUCUCAAAUCUUCUUCCAAAUCUUGCAAAUUUGAAGAAUUUGUCCGUGGAUUUCAAAGUCAAACCCUCCCUCAAGGGAUGGGAAGAACAUGUGUGUUUGUUCAUCAUGGGGACAAAGACGCCUUUUUGAAAGGCAAUAAAGAACCGGACCCUGAUGAGUUUGACAUGGUGUUUGAUAGUAGUCCUAGCUAUGCGGAGCUCUUGCAACAAGUUAGGAAAGAUUUGAAUUGGAUGGACCCUAGUGAUAUCAUUGAGUUGGAGGGAAGGCAUAAUGUUGGUUUUGGAAUGCACAUCCGUUGGAAGACAAUGCGUGUAAACUCGGAGCAACGUUGGGUUGCAUACAAGGAGACGGUGGCCGAAUCACUAGACAAGGCUCUUGAGUUAUUUGCAAAGAAGAAGGUUGAUUCAAGUUUGCAUUUGGACUUGAACCAGAACCCCUCCCCUUUGGUUGCUAGUAGCCCCCCAUCCUUGAAGCGAGAUGAAAUUGUUGAACCUCUUUUGACCCAAGAAGUGAGGCCAACAUUGAGCCCUUAUAGAAACAACCAAGAUGAAUCUUUGCAAGAGGACAAUGAUGAGUAUGCGGACGAUGACAAUGAAGUUGAUCUCCAUGACAACAAUGUGGGUGAUCUCGACAAAUAUCAUUUGCAAGAGACAAUGGACCAUUCCAUCCCUUUUUCCCGUGCAUAUGCAUCGGACUCGGAUGACGAUGGUCCCGAUGAACAAGUUGAUGCGGAGGGGUUCACGGUGAAGGAGGCCGAAGCUUUCGAGAAGGUAUUUGGUCGGGAUCAUCGGACUACAUUGUUCAAGGAUGUUAGUCUCGCGGAUGAAGCCGUGGUAGAUGGUGGCCAAUGUGUACCUCUUGGGGUUAGGCCAAGCUCUCACCGUGAUUUGGUAGACGACAAGAACCGGAUUGCUAAAGAGUGUGGCGCCUCCGUGCUGGGCGCUGCACAAACACUUAGCAAUUUUUUUGCCUGA